RNAcentral lists this long non-coding RNA (1656 nucleotides) under Vigna radiata. Its description in RNAcentral is "long non-coding RNA (VRAD_LNC012497)". Lineage: Eukaryota; Viridiplantae; Streptophyta; Magnoliopsida; Fabales; Fabaceae. The record is from RNAcentral.
UGAGAAGUAAAAAAAAUAAUUAUACGUAAAAUAAUUAAAAUAAAAAUUGUAUAAUUUAGAGAGAGAGUAAAAUUACAAAAGAUUAUGUAUAUAUAAAUUAUAUUAGUUCUAAAAUUUAAUUUGAUGUUUUGGACUAAGCCUAAAAUUUAAUUAAAGUUUUGGAGUGAGGCUAAACCCACUUUAACCCUGACCCUAACCCACUUGAGAGGGGGUUUUGGGGGUUGGGGCUUUUUUCUGGCCCCCUACUUAAGGGGCUUCUUAAAAUAGGGCUUUUUCAAUAGUGGGUUGGGGCUGGCCCUGGGGCCAUGGGUUAAAUUGACACCUCUAAUUAAGACCCACACUAAUUUUAUAAUUUAUUAUUUUUUAUUUUAUAUUCUCUCUUUUUCCUUUUUAAGUCCCAGUACCUCCAACUCUUUCUCUUCUCUCUCUUUUCACUUUAAUUCUCACGUCACACACCCUACAUAUCUCUUCAUCUCUUUCUUCUUUUUAAAUUAAAUUCACUUUCUUUACUCCUUUGCAUAAGUUGUACUUCCUCUCCUACCAGACUUUGCAUGCAAUCCUCACGUACCAAAAUCUCUCCCUACUUCAAUCCUCGUUCUCUUUUCCUCCCAAUUGGUCCAUACCAUUAAAAAAGACAUCAAACUAAAACUUCACCUUACAUACUUGACUUUUCUAUAACGCCACUAACUCUAAUUUUGAAUCUACCCUUAAACCUCUACAACCCAUUUCUUGUAUACACUUACAAUUAAAUAAACUCCCCUUCUAGAACGUAAACAACACCCCAUUUCCCGUAUGCACUCCUCAUUGUUUCCUCUAAACCACAGUACAACUCAAUUCUGUUCUUUAUUUUCUCCAUGACAUUCCCAUAUAGGCAAGCCACAUAAUGCAAAGUUUCCUUUUAUUUUCAUUACAUCUACAACAUCCAGAAACCAAUUAAAUACUCUUUCUAACUCUUCCCUUUCUCUUUCUGUUUCUUUUCAUUUACUUUUUACUGUACUAACAUUAUUUUGAAUUCUUCUUCACCAACCCAUCUCCUAACACCAUAUUACUCAUCCCUCAUUACCUUAUAUAGCUUUUGCAUGCUUAUAUUCUCAUUCGCACAGUGACUUCUCUCCAAAAUCUUCUUAUUUUACUAUUAUUACAGCUUCACUUUAUACUUUUCAUUCCUAACCGGCCCCACUCCCAUUCCACCCUCUCAUUACUGCUGCGGGACCUACAACCAUUACCUACUCAUCUAGAAACACACCCUUAUACGCACAACUUAGAGAGAGCUAAAGAAAACUCCAACCUGCACCAAAUUCUCUCAACCUAAACCAAAUUGUUUGAUCUUUGCACACAGUCUAGCAUGAGACCCACCACUUUUAUACUUAACCAAACUCCCUCGAAUAUUAACCAUACCUAUACCCAUUCUCUUCAAAAGAAAAUGAAACCCACACUCCAACAGAAUAAGUUUCUUCCCCUCUAUGCUUACGACGUUCACGCACCUCUAAAUCACCAUCCAAAGCUCUCCUCUCAUAACCGUGACCAACAUCUACCCAACAAUUCUCACACACAUUCUUUUCCUCUACAACCCAAUUUGACACCCAACAAUUGGACCCCUGCUAAAGAAAAAGGCCAUGUAGGGUGCUGGUUUGGUUUUUAACACUGUUGUUCCUG